RNAcentral lists this ribosomal RNA (253 nucleotides) under uncultured bacterium. RNAcentral describes it as "partial 16S ribosomal RNA". It matches the Rfam family "Bacterial small subunit ribosomal RNA", at positions 524 to 776 of the family's 1533-position model. The record is from RNAcentral.
UACGUAGGGGGCAAGCGCUGUCCGGAUUUAUUGGGCGUAAAGCGCGUGUAGGCGGCCAGAUAGGUCUGCUGUGAAAACUCGAGGCUCAACCUCGAGCUGUCGGCGGAAACCAUCUGGCUAGAGUCCGGAAGAGGAGAGUGGAAUUCCUGGUGUAGCGGUGAAAUGCGCAGAUAUCAGGAAGAACACCUAUGGCGAAGGCAGCUCUCUGGGACGGUACUGACGCUGAGACGCGAAAGCGUGGGGAGCGAACAGG